GGGGAAUAUUGCACAAUGGGGGAAACCCUGAUGCAGCAACGCCGCGUGAGUGAAGAAGUAUUUCAGUAUGUAAAGCUCUAUCAGCAGGAAAGAAAAUGACGGUACCUGACUAAGAAGCCCCGGCUAACUACGUGCCAGCAGCCGCGGUAAUACGUAGGGGGCAAGCGUUAUCCGGAAUUACUGGGUGUAAAGGGAGCGUAGGCGGCACGCCAAGCCAGAUGUGAAAGCCCGAGGCUUAACCUCGCGGAUUGCAUUUGGAACUGGCGAGCUAGAGUACAGGAGAGGAAAGCGGAAUUCCUAGUGUAGCGGUGAAAUGCGUAGAUAUUAGGAAGAACACCAGUGGCGAAGGCGGCUUUCUGGACUGAAACUGACGCUGAGGCUCGAAAGCGUGGGGAGCAAACAGGAUUAGAUACCCUGGUAGUCCACGCCGUAAACGAUGAGUGCUAGGUGUCGGGGAGGAAUCCUCGGUGCCGCAGCUAACGCAAUAAGCACUCCACCUGGGGAGUACGACCGCAAGGUUGAAACUCAAAGGAAUUGACGGGGGCCCGCACAAGCGGUGGAGCAUGUGGUUUAAUUCGAAGCAACGCGAAGAACCUUACCAAGGCUUGACAUCCCGAUGACCGCUCUAGAGAUAGAGCUUCUCUUCGGAGCAUCGGUGACAGGUGGUGCAUGGUUGUCGUCAGCUCGUGUCGUGAGAUGUUGGGUUAAGUCCCGCAACGAGCGCAACCCUUAUCCUUAGUAGCCAUCAUUGAGUUGGGCACUCUAGGGAGACUGCCGUGGAUAACACGGAGGAAGGUGGGGAUGACGUCAAAUCAUCAUGCCCCUUAUGUCUUGGGCUACACACGUGCUACAAUGGCUGGUAACAGAGUGAAGCGAGACGGCGACGUUAAGCAAAUCACAAAAACCCAGUCCCAGUUCGGAUUGUAGUCUGCAACUCGACUACAUGAAGCUGGAAUCGCUAGUAAUCGCGAAUCAGAAUGUCGCGGUGAAUACGUUCCCG
Molecule: ribosomal RNA, 1000 nt
Filed under: uncultured bacterium
Lineage: Bacteria
Description: bacterial SSU rRNA
Rfam family: Bacterial small subunit ribosomal RNA
Source: RNAcentral